This is a long non-coding RNA of Cervus elaphus (red deer), 3633 nucleotides long. RefSeq lists it as uncharacterized. The transcript is spliced from 3 exons. Lineage: Eukaryota; Metazoa; Chordata; Mammalia; Artiodactyla; Cervidae. The record is from RefSeq and is a predicted model, not a curated record.
UGCCCUCUGAUUCCUGGCCGAAGCAAAUGCAUAUUGUCUCUGAAGCAAAGUAAGAGGGCUUUAAAAUUCUCACAAAUUAAGAUCAACAAAAGAUGAGCUCACAAAUAUCAUCAAACUCACAAGGAAACAGGUCACAGCACUCUGAAGAUAUUAUUCCACUGUCUUCUGGCUUCUGUUGUUGCUCUUGAGAAGUCUGCCAUCUGUCUCAUUGUUGUUCCUUUUGCCUUGGACAGUUCUGAUUUUGUGAAGAGAAUCAGUGCCAAUCCUUGACCUUUUUGUCUCUUGGGUUUUUUCCAUACCGUUAAGAGACAGGCAAGUGAAGUCAGCAAAUGUCCCAAGGGUAGCUGUGACUUCAAAGCAUGCUAACCUCUGGCUUCUGAUGAUCUCUUCAUUUUGCCCCCUUUGGAUCUCCUUUACUUUUUUUUAACUGUGGCAUACUUGUAAAAGGAUGUUUGUCAUAUAUUACCUAGCAUUUCUUGGUGUUUUGGUGAAAUCUGACCACUGUUCAUAUACUUGCAGUAUUGAUUGUGUCCUUCUACCUUUGAACAUACUAUAUCUACUUUUCUUUAUGUCCUCUGUAAAGUUUCAUUGCCUUUUUAAAAGAUCUUGCACAUUUCUUGGUAAGUAAUUUCCCUAGUACUUCAUAAAUUUUGUUCAUAUUAUAAAUAGGAAUAUUUUGUUCUGUGAAAAAAUUCAUAGAUAUAAAUACACAUACAUAGAGUGAAAUAUUCAUCUCUAUAAAUGGAUAAUAGCCUUACAAAAAUAUCUAAUAGUUUUUCAGUGGAUCAUUUUGGAUUUCUAGGUUGAUAAUUUGCUCUCCACAUAUAAUGUAUGAUCCUUUUCUAUAUGUACCAUUAAAAGAAAACUAAUCAGUAGAAGGAGCUGAGUAUUUGAGUAUAUCACAUUUUGAAAACAGUUAUUUUUGUUUUUCAAACUAAUUGGGGGUGCUUCUAAUGUUUAAUUUUAAAAUUUUCUAUUAAAUAUGUUUAUAUAGGUUUCUGGUAAAUACCCUUAAUUAGGUUAAGGAAAAGCCAUUUGGUCUUAGAGUUUCUAAUACAGUCUUAAAAUACAUUUUCUGAUGUUGAACUAUUUCUGCGUUUAUAGGAUAAACCUUAUUUGAUAAUGAUGUAAUGAUGUAUUAGACUACACAGCUAGAUUCUCUGUUGCUAAUAUUUUACUUUUGAAAAUUUACCUGUGUUUGUUUGUGAUAUUGGAUUGGUUUUCCUGAGCUUUCUUUGCCCAGUUUUGUUACCUGAGUUCAUUUAAUUUUGUAAAAUGACUUGGGUGGAUUUCUCUAUUUUUAUACGUUCAAAAACAGUUAUAUGUAAUCUUGCCAGUAAAACUAUCAGUCAUCAGUAUCUACUGCCUUUUAGGAGCAUAGACAUUGAACUCAAAUUUUAAAUUCUAAUGUGGUUAUUGAUGUAUAUUCAGAUUUUCUAUCUUCAUGGGUCAUUUUAAAAAUUAUUUUCAUCCAUUUCAUUACUUUUAUAAUUUACUAUUGAGUUAUAUAUAGUUUUUUUGUCAUAAGCACUUUUGAAUUCCUUUGGACUUGGGGGAGUUAAGGUCUUUUCUUUUCCAGUGUUUUGGAUUUGUGCCCAAUCUGAUUUUUUUCCUACAUGUCAAAGUUUUGUAUCAUGUAUUGGUGUUUGCAAAUAAUUAACUUGUUGUUUUGCUAGCCAUUUCUAUUCUUUCUGCAUUCUAGUUUACUUGUUUAUUGAUUUUUAGAUAACUAAUUGUUUUAUUUCUCUCCUUGAGUUGAACCUUAAUUUUCUUGUUUUUAAUUAUUUCUUGUUUUCUAAUAAAUGGAUUUAAGGCUGUAAGUUUUCUGUGGUACAUUAGCUGAAUCUCAUGGGAUUUCACACAAGGUUGCUCUUGGUAUUUAGUUUUAAAUUGUGAGUUUUAGUUUUCUUUCAUUUUCCUUUUAUGAUAAUCAUAUGGAAGUAUCUUAGUUACAUUAUAUAUUUUUUGCAUGCUUUUGUAAUUUCUAAUUUUAUUGUAAUGUGUUAACAUGUCAUCGGUUUUACCCAUCUACCCAUCUUAUGUUCCAGUCUACUCUGUCUUUAUUUCUUGUCUGUUUAUAUUAGGUCCUAAAAGGGGGAAAGAUACUGUUUCCUUCUACUUACACAACACUUUUGAUCCUAGAUGUGUGAAUUUUCCCAUACCAAGCAAUUCUCUAGUUCUUGGUGGACACCAACUGGGUAUUCUACAGUUAACUCAGUUCUGACACUAACUCUGCAGAGUAGUACAGACACCACAAGUUAAGGGCUCAGUCCAAUAAGAUUGACCACCACUUCAGAUGACAAUUCCAAGUUCCAAGUUGUCACAGGCACUUCUGACUGACUGGCUAUAAAUCAGGGUUUCUCAGUGGCUAUAAAUCUCAGGUUCAAUAAUUUGCUAGAAUGAUUCACAGAUCUUAGAAAAACAUUGACACUUAGCAGUUUAUUAUAAAGGAUACAACUCAGGAGCAGCUAAAUGAAAGAAAUGCUUAGUUUUUACUGUUUAUGUUGGAAUCAGCCUAUCAAUAAUCAAUACUGUGGCCAGACCAGCCCUUGUAGUUCUUACGGUGAUUGCAAGUAAGUAUGUAUCAGCAGUAUGUAUCAGGAAAACUUUGAGAAAAUAAAAGUUUAUUUACUUACAGGACCUGGAAAUUACAUAGCACAUCUGAGGUCACACAGCGAGGUUGUUAGGGAAGAGAGAAUACAGGAGAGAAAAAGAGAGCCAGCCAGUACACAGGCAUGUGUGUGAGCCUGGGGUUCUGCUUUAACUGGGGUUGAGGAUUUCACAGGCCCAUUCAUUAGUGAAUUUAAAAGGUGGAAUUGGGAGUCUAAAGCAUGGGAAGAUAAAAAAACAAGUGGCCCAGAUGGUCAGUUAUUGAAAUCAACUAAGGUCUCUAAAACAAAGGAGCUUACUGUGGGGAUGCAGCCUGACUCAGCCUGCCUCUUUACCUAGUUGUGUGGCUGGCAGCAUGUUUAUUGGUCCAGACAUGCUUGAAAUGAAUGCCUUGACAAUCAAAGUUUAACUCAUACUCUUGCAUUACAGGAAAAAAAAAACAAAACACCAACUGUAAGGCUUAUACCUUAGGAAGGUAUGGAGAAGAGUUGCAGAGCUUCCAUACCCUCUCCAGGUAUAUCACUCUUUUAGCACUUCAGUGUAUUCACUGAGUCAGAAGCUCUCUGAAUCCCUUCUGUUAGGGUUUUUCAUGAAGGCUUCAUUAAAUAGGCAUGAUUGAUGAACUCAUUGGCCAUUUGUAAUUAAUUCAACUUCCAGGGGAUCUUCCUGACCCACAUCUCCUGCAUUGGCAGGUGAGUUCUUUACCACUGAGUCAGCAGGGAAGCCCCAGCAACACAUUACUGUGGCAUGAAAUCAGUUUAGUGGUUUUUGAUUCUGUGUGAGAGAAGGUGGAGUGGAGAGGAAAAAGAUGACUAAAAUAGUGUAGUGUAGAAUAGAAUAGAAAACAGAAUAGGUAUUGUUUUAUAAAACUAAAUAUAUAUCAGGUUCUGAUGUGAAAGGUAAGUAGUACACCAUAUUUGAAAAACACUGAGGUUACUUCCCAUGGAUAUUAUUUCCAUAUAUAUAUUUUCAUAUACAGUCUUUGCUACUAUGGAAGUUCUUUUGAAAUGACAACAGAAAUUU